GGAUGCUUUGGCACCGGCUUUUGCGAGGAUUAUUAGGCGAGAAAAGAAUUGGUUUGUGAUUAUAUAUUUCAUGCGAGUUUAUGUGGUUGUGACUGCUGUUUGUGGUUCUUACAUGACCUAUGAUAAGAGGUAAAUUAUUUUAGAAGUAGGAUGAUGAUGAUUUAUGGAAGUGAAGAUUGAUGAUGAGGAAGGAGAUGAUGAUGUGCGGAGGUUAGGUUUAUGUUUAAUUGCUGGUGAUGGUUUGUCUGUCUCUCGACCUUUGCCAUGACAGGUGCGCUUGCUUGGCAGGUCACAAAGAACUAAUAAAAUUUUAUUUUUGGGUUUCAAGGGGGGGAGAUGGUACGGGGUUAUUUAUUCCUUUUGGUUUUUGCCCGGCUCUCCCCCCCAGCGUGCGUGUGCGUGUGUGGCUGGUCUUUUUUCUCUGUCUCUCUCUCUCUCUCUCUCUGUCUCUCUGUUUGUGCUAUCUUUGUCCGUCUCUUAUACCACCAUAUCUACCUAUCAAUUCUGGACGGCCGUUCAAUCAAACAUCAUAUGCAACCAAGGCAAACGAGGCAACAACUAUGCAGGAAUCAAUUUUGAUCUUCAUCAAUUCAACCACGAAAGGUAUAUACUUG
This 614-nucleotide long non-coding RNA is filed under the name Ricinus communis (castor bean). RNAcentral describes it as "long non-coding RNA (RCOM_LNC000092)". Lineage: Eukaryota; Viridiplantae; Streptophyta; Magnoliopsida; Malpighiales; Euphorbiaceae. The record is from RNAcentral.